UCGAUUAGUUUGAUCAUGGCUCAGAAUCAACGCUGGCGGCGUGCCUAACACAUGCAAGUCGAACGCGGUUACCCCGCAAGGGGUGACUGAGUGGCGAACGGGUGAGUAACACGUGGGUGACCUGCCUUCGAGUGGGGGAUAACAUCCCGAAAGGGGUGCUAAUACCGCAUGACAUCCUGCCUUUGAAGAGGUGGAGAUUAAAGCUGGGGAUCGUAAGACCUGGCGCUUGAAGAGGGGCUCGCGUCCGAUUAGCUAGUUGGUGGGGUAACGGCCUACCAAGGCUACGAUCGGUAGCCGGCCUGAGAGGGCGGACGGCCACACUGGGACUGAGACACGGCCCAGACUCCUACGGGAGGCAGCAGUGGGGAAUUGUUCGCAAUGGGCGAAAGCCUGACGACGCAGCGCCGCGUGGAGGACGAAGAUCUUCGGGUCGUAAACUCCUUUCGAUCGGGACGAAUGGCUGGUGGGUGAAUAGCCCGUCGGAAUGACGGUACCGAGAGAAGAAGCCCCGGCUAACUCCGUGCCAGCAGCCGCGGUAAUACGGGGGGGGCAAGCGUUGUUCGGAAUUACUGGGCGUAAAGGGCGCGUAGGCGGCCUACUAAGUCGGACGUGAAAUCCCUCGGCUCAACCGAGGAACUGCGUCCGAUACUGGCGAGGCUUGAAUUCGGGAGAGGGAUGUGGAAUUCCAGGUGUAGCGGUGAAAUGCGUAGAUAUCUGGAGGAACA
Molecule: ribosomal RNA, 725 nt
Filed under: uncultured bacterium
Lineage: Bacteria
Description: bacterial SSU rRNA
Rfam family: Bacterial small subunit ribosomal RNA
Source: RNAcentral